CUUGCACUAACUAUGAUAAUGCUAGACUAUAUAGUUGAGAAUAACUUAGGAAAUAUUCUUGUAGUUCAUUCUAAUACCAUGCUAAUGACUUUCUAGAGUAUCUAAUUGAGGUGCUUAUCAUAUUUAUUAUGUGGCUAAGUAUGCUGAUCAGAUUAAUUAUCUUUGUCACUAGUCAUUACUUCAUAUAUCUUUUAUGUGACACUUACCCCUGUAUGAAAGAGUUAGAUAAAUGUUCUCAAUUAUACAUGCGAUGAUAGAUACUCAAUCUCAUAUUCUAUUCUAUAAUCAAAAUUGAUGAUUGCUAAUCCCUUCCCAGUGGUAAAAAUAUAAAUAACGAUACCUGGAAUACUUCCCGGUUAAAAUGCUACAUCGGUAUUAAUCUGUGCGCUUGCAGAUCCCAUUCAUUAUUUAUUUAGAAGAGCAAUUGUAUAUUUCAAUACCGCGUCUCUCAUGUCAUGCUGGGGAUGACAACUUGGCUUAAGUGGUAUGAGGGAUAGGUUUGGCAUUUUUGGCACCGUUACUAGAAUUAGAAAACUAAGUCUACUUUUGGUAAUGAUGUUAAGAAUACCCAAC
RNAcentral lists this long non-coding RNA (573 nucleotides) under Sorghum bicolor (sorghum). RNAcentral's name for it is "long non-coding RNA (SBIC_LNC013693)". Lineage: Eukaryota; Viridiplantae; Streptophyta; Magnoliopsida; Poales; Poaceae. The record is from RNAcentral.